AUUUAUUCUCUAUUUAUAAAACAAAAAUGGACUUUUAACAGUAAUCAUUUUCAUUCCUUAUAAAAUUGAAAUAAAUCUAUAAAGUCAAUGCUUGGCAGUUGUGGUUUAUAUUUGAUUUUAUGUCACUUUGUGUAAAUAAAUAUAUAUAUAUAUUAAGAAGAUGUGGUAUGAGUGCCAAUGAGAAAUAAGAAGAUGUGGUAUGAGUGCCAAUGAGAAAACUCUUUAUUCAAGUCAUAAUUUGUAAAACUUAUGAACCACACCAAC
This 264-nucleotide long non-coding RNA is filed under the name Mytilus galloprovincialis (Mediterranean mussel). Lineage: Eukaryota; Metazoa; Mollusca; Bivalvia; Mytilida; Mytilidae. The record is from RNAcentral.